UUAAAAACUGGUAAACUAGAGUGCAGAAGGGGGUAGUGGAAUUCCAUGUGUAGCGGUAAAAUGCGUAGAUAUAUGGAGGAACACCGGUGGCGAAGGCGGCUACCUGGUCUGUAACUGACGCUCAGGCACGAAAGCGUGGGGAGCAAAUAGGAUUAGAUGCCCUAGUAGUCCACGCCCUAAACGAUGAGAACUAAGUGUUGGAGUAUUUCAGUGCUGCAGUUAACGCAAUAAGUUCUCCGCCUGAGGAGUAUGCACGCAAGUGUGAAACUUAAAGGAAUUGACGGGGGCCCGCACAAGCGGUGGAGUAUGCGGUUUAAUUCGAUGCAACGCGAAGAACCUUACCAGGCCUUGACAUCCCCUGCAAAGUCAUAGAGAUAUGAUGGAGGUUACCAGGGUGACAGGUGGUGCAUGGUUGUCGUCAGCUCGUGUCGUGAGAUGUUGGGUUAAGUCCCGCAACGAGCGCAACCCUUGUCUUUAGUUACUAACAUUCAGUUGAGGACUCUAAAGAGACUGCCGGUGAUAAACCGGAGGAAGGUGGGGAUGACGUCAAAUCAUCAUGCCCCUUAUGGCCUGGGCUACACGCGUACUACAAUGGCGUACACAACAAGUCGCAAAAGAGUGAUCUUAAGCUAAACUUUUAAAAUGCGUCUCAGUUCGGAUUGGAGUCUGCAACUCGACUCCAUGAAGUUGGAAUCGCUAGUAAUCGCGGAUCAGCAUGCCGCGGUGAAUACGUUCUCGGGCCUUGUACACACCGCCCGUCAAACCAUGAGAGUUAGUAAUACCCGAAGCCGGUGGCCUAACGCGCAAGCGAGGGAGCUGUCGAAGGUAGGACUGAUGAUUGGGGUUAAGUCGUAACAAGGUAACCA
Molecule: ribosomal RNA, 866 nt
Filed under: uncultured bacterium
Lineage: Bacteria
Description: bacterial SSU rRNA
Rfam family: Bacterial small subunit ribosomal RNA
Source: RNAcentral